Molecule: ribosomal RNA, 458 nt
Filed under: uncultured bacterium
Lineage: Bacteria
Description: bacterial SSU rRNA
Rfam family: Bacterial small subunit ribosomal RNA
Source: RNAcentral
CAGCAUAGAAGUAGCAAUACGUUUGGUGGCGACCGGCGCACGGGUGAGUAACGCGUAUGCAACCUACCUAUCAGAGGGGAAUAACCCGGCGAAAGUCGGACUAAUACCGCAUAAAACAGGGGCACCGCAUGGUGAUAUUUGUUAAAGAAAUUCGCUGAUAGAUGGGCAUGCGUUCCAUUAGGUAGUUGGUGAGGUAACGGCUCACCAAGCCGACGAUGGAUAGGGGAACUGAGAGGUUGGUCCCCCACACUGGUACUGAGACACGGACCAGACUCCUACGGGAGGCAGCAGUGAGGAAUAUUGGUCAAUGGGCGGGAGCCUGAACCAGCCAAGUCGCGUGAAAGGAAGAAGGAUCUAUGGUUCGUAAACUUCUUUUGCAGGGGAAUAAAGUGCAGGACGUGUCCUGUUUUGUAUGUACCCUGAGAAUAAGGAUCGGCUAACUCCGUGCCAGCAGCCGC